CCUACGGGAGUCAGCAGUGGGGAAUAUUGCACAAUGGGGGAAACCCUGAUGCAGCGACGCCGCGUGAGUGAAGAAGUAUCUCGGUACGUAAAGCUCUAUCAGCAGGGAAGAAAAUGGCGGUACCUGACUAAGCAGCCCCGGCUAACUACGUGCCAGCAGCCGCGGUGAUACGAAGGGGGCAAGCGUGAUCCGGAUUUACUGGGUGUAAAGGGAGCGUAGACGGCAGCACAAGUCUGGAGUGAAAUCCCGGGGCUUAACCCCGGAACUGCUUUGGAAACUGUGAGGCUGGAGUGCAGGAGGGGUAAGCGGAAUUCCUAGUGUAGCGGUGAAAUGCGUAGAUAUUAGGAGGAACACCGGUGGCGAAGUCGGCCAACUGGGCUUUAACUGACGCUGAGGCUCGAAAGUGUGGGGAGCAAACAGGAUUAGAUACCCGAGUAGUC
RNAcentral lists this ribosomal RNA (440 nucleotides) under uncultured bacterium. Its description in RNAcentral is "partial 16S ribosomal RNA". It matches the Rfam family "Bacterial small subunit ribosomal RNA", at positions 338 to 795 of the family's 1533-position model. The record is from RNAcentral.